GUCACUUGCGGUGAUUCGGCUACAGAACGCGCCGGGCGCUGGUGGCAGGUGGUACAGGCACGUGGAUCCACCGACCACAAGGACGGAUUCGAUUGGAUUCUGAUUGACCGGCGGACCAGCUCCAGAGUAAUUGUCUAUGGCUGCCCCUGCAAUGACUGAUUGAUUGACAAUGGCUGAGAGACCAGCAAGUGAGUCGCUCCGAGAAAGCGAAGGAGCCCACUCUUGUGCGGCGCUUUGGGAAGACGCCUGUUGGUUUUGACCCCGAAUAAGAAGAGGAAGCUGAGAGCGGGCUGACUGUGGUCCAGUCCUACUUCGAUUCAGUGUGAACUGACACUCUGAUCUGAAGACGCUCAGGCCUUUGUCAUUUCAGCACCCCAGAUGCUAUUUUCCAUUCGAAGAAUGCCGCCACCAGGUGGCGGUAUUUUAACAUGGCCAUGCAAUCCGGAGCCAGAGGCUUGCUCUGUCACCCAGGCUAGAGUGCAGUGUCGUAAUCUAGCUCACUGCAGCCUCCAAUUCCCAAGCUCAAGCGAUCCUCCUGCCUCAGCCUCUGAGUCACUGGGAUUACAGGCGUGAGCUACCGCACCCGGUCUUUUUGCAUUACUAACCUGUGAUAUGGGUUUAUGGGACUUCAUUAUUUCAAAGGGAGGCAGCUUGGCCCCGGAGAGCAUGCAUUCCUGGCUUCUGCGAUGGAUAGACUUGUGUUCUCCAUCUCAGGAGCUCCCCCUCAAGGUGGGGGUAAGAGAUGAGGGCUUCCACUCUGGCUUUGUUCGAGAUGUCUUGAUGCCAAGAGGAGCAAACUAGUUAAGCGGUUGGUGUACACAGGAGGCUCCAGUGAUGGGGAGCGGCUGUAAAUACAGAUGAAGCUUUGCUGCCUGCCUGCUCACUGCCUGCCUGCUCACCUCCUGCUCUGCGGCCCAGUUCCUAACAGGCCACAGACAGGUACCAGUCUAUGGCCCAGAUGAUGCAGACCCCUGUCUUAAACAAAAACAAAAAACCAAAGCACACUUAAUGUGAGAUCUACUCUCUUAGCAAAAUUUUUGUUUUUGUUGUCGUUGACACGGAGCCUCAUUCUGUUGCCCAG
This 1081-nucleotide long non-coding RNA is filed under the name Homo sapiens (human). RNAcentral describes it as "novel transcript". Lineage: Eukaryota; Metazoa; Chordata; Mammalia; Primates; Hominidae. The record is from RNAcentral.